RNAcentral lists this ribosomal RNA (468 nucleotides) under uncultured bacterium. RNAcentral describes it as "partial 16S ribosomal RNA". It matches the Rfam family "Bacterial small subunit ribosomal RNA", at positions 28 to 507 of the family's 1533-position model. The record is from RNAcentral.
GACGAACGCUGGCGGCGUGCUUAACACAUGCAAGUCGAACGGAAAGGCCCUGCUUUGGUGGGGUGCUCGGGUGGCGAAGGGGUGAGUAACACGUGAGUAACCUGCCCUUGACUGUGGGAUAACUUCAUGAAACUGGGGCUAAUAGCGGAUAGGAGCUCCUGCUGCAUGGUGGGGGUUGGAAAGUUUAGGCGGUUGGGGGUGGACUCGCGGCUUAUCAGAUUGUUGGAUGGGUAGUGGCUUACCAAGGCUUUGACGGGUAGCCGGCCUGAGCGGGUGAGAGGCCAAAUUGGGACGGAGAUACGGCCCAGACUCCUCCGGUAGGCAGCAGUGCAGAAUAUUGCACAAGGGGCGGAAGCCUGAUGCAGCAACGCCGCGUGCGGGAUGACGGCCUUCGGGUUGUAAACCGCUUUCGCCUGUGACGAAGCGUGAGUGACGGUAAUGGGUAAAGAAGCACCGGCUAACUACGUG